Molecule: unclassified non-coding RNA, 1315 nt
Filed under: Hevea brasiliensis (rubber tree)
Lineage: Eukaryota; Viridiplantae; Streptophyta; Magnoliopsida; Malpighiales; Euphorbiaceae
Source: RNAcentral
AUAAAACACAGGACAUGGAGUGUCACAGUCUAAAUGUUUCAGCUUGUAUUUCUGGUGUCCGCCUUGGAGGAGGAAUGAAUUACACAGAAGCCUUACUUCAUAGGUUUGGAAUUCUUGGGCCAGAUGGUGGUCCUGGGGAAGGGCUUACUAAAGGAUUGAAGCAUCUGUCUGCUGGGCCUUUGUCUAAACUUUUGAAAGCAACACCUCUUACCCUUGAUGAGCAUCAAGAUGAUGGAAAGGACACUGGUAGAUUACAGUUGGAAACACCUGAUGACGUGGAUAUAUCCAUAGAAUUCAAAGAUUGGUUAUUUGCUCUGGAAGGUGCACAAGAAGAAGCAGAAAGGUGGUGGUUCUGUGAUCAUGAAGAUUCUGUCAGAGAAGAGCGGUGUUGGCACACAACUUUCCAGAACAUUUGUGUUAAAGCAAGCAGUUCUAAGCAUGUAACAAAUGACAGCGGAAAAUCUCCUGGCAAAAAAAGAUACCCCCUCGAGUUGAUUACUGUUGGUAUGGAAGGUCUGCAGAUCUUAAAACCACGUUCUCCACAUAGUAUCAGGCAAGAUAGUCCUGAAGGACCUCUUAAAGAGACUGCUGAGAGAUUUGGUGGUAUGAACAUCGAAGUAGACAUAGUGAAUUGCGAAGACGAUAUUGAUGAUGGAUUGGGAAAGUGGAUUGUCGAAAAUUUGAAAUUUUCUGUCAAACAGCCGAUCGAGGCAGUAGUGACUAAGGCUGAGCUCAAGUAUCUUGCUUUCUUGUGCAAGUCUGAGGUUGACUCCAUGGGUCGGAUUGCCGCUGGAAUUCUGCGGGUACUUAAGUUAGAAAAUAAAAUUGGCGCAGGAGCAAUCAGUCAACUAAGUAACUUAGGAAGUGAAAGCUUUGAUAGAAUAUUUACUCCUGAAAAACUCAGCAGAGACAAUAGCAGCAGUAGUAUGGGCCUAAGUCCUUCGUCAAAUAUCACUGGUGGAAGCCGAAACCCAUAUCUUGAGUCAACAGUAGCUUCUCUUGAGGACAUGAUCAAGGAAUCACAGACCAAAUGUUCUUCUUUAAGUGUUGAACUAGCUAAUUCAACAUCUUCUCUCGAUGACGUUAAAGAGCUGAGUCAGAAACUGGAGAACAUGCAGAAAUUAUUGAUGCAAUUGCGAACUCAAGUUUAAUUUGUUUGUCCUCCCCUGUAAGUCAUUUUUGGUAGUAUGUUAUGUUACUAUAGUUAAAGAAUCAUACAGGCUUUCCAUUCUUUUUGUACAUAUGUACUAUCCAAAAUAUGUUGAGCAUGUAGCACAGCGAGAAAAUGUAGUAGAAGAAAGAAACCUCAGUUGCA